UGCUUACCUUUGGUAGACAAAAGAAAAUUGAAGUGUUCUGAGUUACUCCUCGAGGCACGUCGUACGCGAACACGAGUCGGAAACGAAGUGGCGCGGAAUCAACUCGCCUCGCGACAGCCGAGAACCUCUCCUCUCUGCCUCGGCCAAUCACAUCCCUCCUUUGUACUAUCCCCUCUUCACUCCUCAAUCCUCUCCCAGGGACGGUUCGCGGUCCAGCCACGUUCCUCUGUUCCGUUGUUUCUACGAGGGUUUCUUGGUUGCUACCUCGACUUUUUUCGUCCUAAUUAUUAUUCUCCGUCACAUUCUUGCGGAAAGAAAUAAAAGAUGAUCGAAUAUGCAGAAUAUUCAAAAAUAAUUUUUUGAAGAUAUUUGAGAAUGGAUAAACUAUUUCCUAUAUUUUAAUGAUCAUUCGUCGAUUUCGAUAUAAUAAUUGUUGAUGAAAAUUAUCGAUACUACGAUCGAUGGAAUCGAAAAUAAGCUAAGUUCAGCUUGGACUACACGAAGAGUUGAAUAUUUAUAAAAGUUUGAUAGACGUAUAAAUUACAUAAAAAAGUAGAUUUUUCGAUUUUAAGUGGAUAAUAAAAUUUUACUUUUUUCAUUUAUUCUUUUUUGUACUACUAACAUAAAACAAAUUUGCUAUAUUUUUCAAUAGACGAUGCAGCACAAUGUGCACAAUCGAUAAUCGAUCUAGUUUAAUUAUACGAUCAGUAUGUCGAAGUCAAUGGCCUCGAAACAAAGAACCGACAUAAAAAGAAGAUAACUAUUCAAUUGUUACCCACCUUGAAAGAUAAAAAGAUUAUAACAAAGUUCAUUAUACUUCGAAAAUUAUAUUUAUUAUUAUUAAUUUUUAUAUUAUUAUUAUAUUAUAUUUCGAAAGAAAAAAAAAUUAUUCCAAGCCAAACUAUUCCAGUUUAAUAAAACAAAAUGCAACAUUCUCUUACAGAAAACAAGUCAAUGUCAGUCGGUGGCGGCCAGCAUGGAAACUUAUUAUCCGUAAUCGAUACGUCUGAAAAUCGAUCGCUUUCAAGGAACGAUUAUUGUGUUCGAGGAAGAGAACGUAUACAUAUAAUUAGCAACAACGGCUUCAACGAAAAAAAGUUACCGAUUGAAAUUGAAACAAAAAAUGAAGACAACUUUGCAUUGGGAUUAUUAUUAAAAAUAUUUUAAAAAUUCUAUCUCACCAAUAUAACACAUUAUCGUCAUUAGAAGAAUUAUGUAAUGCUUUGAGUUGGCCGGUCUGGCUGGGUUGAUGAGGAAAGUUGCGUCAAUGGCCGGGAGGAAAUUACUUUUCCUCGUCUGUUAUUUUUAUCCUGAGAAGUGUUUUAUGCCGUUUCCACAGUUAUGGUUUAACGAGAACCUGUCUCUUUCAUUUAGUUCCUAAGGAUAAUUCGUUUCAUCAAAAUUAAAAUAUAUAAUUGUAUAUUGUAAAUGAGAUUCUUUUAUAAUUAAUAUUCACUAUUUUAUUGAUUAUUGACUAAAUUAUUUAAAGAAAUUAAACACCUGAUAAAAGUUUAAAAUUGACAAUCAGUAAUAGAAAUUUAUAUUGGAUAGAUAUAUAUAUUUUUAUUAUAGUUUUUAAAGAUUAGAAAUUAAGAUUUCGUGUUUAUCUGUUCAUAUUCAAGUGCCAGUAUGAUAAUAAUUGUAAGAUGAUAAAAAAAACAUUUUAGAAUGGAUUUCAAGACUUAAUAUUGAUUUAAAAAUUAUUGACUUGAAAAUAUUAAUGCAAUACUAUUAUUGAAUACAAAAUAUAUAAUAUAUAUAAAUAUAUAAAAAAAUAUAUAUAUAAAAAAUAUUAAUAUAAUUUUUAUUGUAGUAUUCAUGUUUUCGAAUCUUUUGGUAAGAAAUAGAAAUACACAUAAUACAAAAAAAAGUAAAAGCAAAAAAAUUAAAAAAAAAUAAGAGUAGUAAACUAAUAAAAAAUAAGAUAUAAUAUUAUUUAAAAAAGUAUUGUUGACCUUGAAAUUUAUAAAAUGACCUUGGUACUUAUAAAAUAUCUCUAAUAUAAAUACUCUUUUUCGUACUUUUCUCAUCUAAUCGUAUUAUUGCAUUACAAACUAUAACUGUAAAUAUUAUGUUACAAGUCUCAAUUACGUAAAUUAUUAAUAUCCACAUUGAAUAUACGUUAUACCAUUCUUUUAAUGUGCAUAGGAACUUGAUAUUCUAGUUUCAUUUUCUAAACGUUCUAGGCUAUAAUUACAAUACAAAUACCUAUAUCCAUUAUCUUACCAAUAUAUAAUAUGUAAUAUAUUAUUCGUAUUAUUUUUCUUAAAGAAAAUCGCACAUAUAUAAAGACGUUAAAAAAUUGCUUGGAUCGCAGUCAUAGAAAUCCGGCAUUAAAUACCACAAUAAUCACGUUAAAUCGCUACGCUGCCUCAAGAGACUUACAAUUUAUCGCGUGACUGGCACCAAGUAUGACAAAGAUUUCUCAUCCAGUUUUUCGAUGUUUGACAUCAGCAAUUGAAAAAGAAAAAGAAACUACUUUUACAAGAAUGAAAAAUGAAGAAAUAGAAUGUAAAACAAAAUCAUAAAUCCUUUAUCUCAUGAAUACUGAUUGAAAAUACUGGUUUUUGAUGCCAUUGAUUAAGAGCAAUUCUCAAUGUCAAUGUCUCAGAAUCGAUCGAGCACCACUGCUUCUUCCGUAAUUUCGACACGUACGCCACGAGCAGAUCAGCUACCGCUGAUGGCCACCUUGCUUGUUUAUUACAUAAUGUUGGACGAGAAUUUUGCCAUGCCAGAUAUACUUGUUUUCCGUAGAAACGGCUGGUCGCGCCAAGUGCUUUAUUCGCUGGCUUCGAACGAGGAAAACAUCAGCCAGACCGCUUCCUUAUCGAUCUUUCGCCGCGAUCUUUUAUCGUUUUCUCUGAAUUAAUAUUAAUGCUUCGAUAGCGUAUGUAAUAAUAUUUGGAAAUAGUUAACAUUCUUUUUAAUGAGAAUUUCUGGCAAUUUCAUUGUUUGAUUCUACUCUUUUCAUUUUCAUUAGAUGGAAGUAAUACUGAUAUGCUAAUAUUGAAAAUAAAUAAUUUUAGUGUGAUGUAGUAAAAGAAAUAUAUAGAGAAUAAAUAUGUUAAAAUUAUUUUAAAAAAAAAA
This is a long non-coding RNA of Apis cerana (Asiatic honeybee), 3087 nucleotides long. RefSeq lists it as uncharacterized. NCBI's taxonomy places the organism in Eukaryota, Metazoa, Arthropoda, Insecta, Hymenoptera, Apidae. The record is from RefSeq and is a predicted model, not a curated record.